AGCAGCAGCCGCGGUAACACGUAGGGUGCAAGCGUUAAUCGGAAUUACUGGGCGUAAAGCGUGCGCAGGCGGUUCUAUAAGACAGAUGUGAAAUCCCCGGGCUCAACCUGGGAACUGCAUUUGUGACUGUAGAGCUGGAGUGCGGCAGAGGGGGAUGGAAUUCCGCGUGUAGCAGUGAAAUGCGUAGAUAUGCGGAGGAACACCGAUGGCGAAGGCAAUCCCCUGGGCCUGCACUGACGCUCAUGCACGAAAGCGUGGGGAGCAAACAGGAUUAGAUACCCCUGUAGUCCCUGUCUCUUAUAC
This 303-nucleotide ribosomal RNA is filed under the name uncultured bacterium. RNAcentral's name for it is "partial 16S ribosomal RNA". It matches the Rfam family "Bacterial small subunit ribosomal RNA", at positions 507 to 807 of the family's 1533-position model. The record is from RNAcentral.